Molecule: ribosomal RNA, 2222 nt
Filed under: Salmonella enterica subsp. enterica serovar Newport
Lineage: Bacteria; Pseudomonadati; Pseudomonadota; Gammaproteobacteria; Enterobacterales; Enterobacteriaceae
Description: partial 23S ribosomal RNA
Rfam family: Bacterial large subunit ribosomal RNA
Source: RNAcentral
GGGUUGUGAGGUUAAGCGACUAAGCGUACACGGUGGAUGCCCUGGCAGUCAGAGGCGAUGAAGGACGUGCUAAUCUGCGAUAAGCGCCGGUAAGGUGAUAUGAACCGUUAUAACCGGCGAUUUCCGAAUGGGGAAACCCAGUGUGAUUCGUCACACUAUCAUUAACUGAAUCCAUAGGUUAAUGAGGCGAACCGGGGGAACUGAAACAUCUAAGUACCCCGAGGAAAAGAAAUCAACCGAGAUUCCCCCAGUAGCGGCGAGCGAACGGGGAGGAGCCCAGAGCCUGAAUCAGCAUGUGUGUUAGUGGAAGCGUCUGGAAAGGCGCGCGAUACAGGGUGACAGCCCCGUACACAAAAGCGCAUGUGCUGUGAGCUCGAUGAGUAGGGCGGGACACGUGGUAUCCUGUCUGAAUAUGGGGGGACCAUCCUCCAAGGCUAAAUACUCCUGACUGACCGAUAGUGAACCAGUACCGUGAGGGAAAGGCGAAAAGAACCCCGGCGAGGGGAGUGAAAAAGAACCUGAAACCGUGUACGUACAAGCAGUGGGAGCACAGGUUUACCUGUGUGACUGCGUACCUUUUGUAUAAUGGGUCAGCGACUUAUAUUCUGUAGCAAGGUUAACCGAAUAGGGGAGCCGGAGGGAAACCGAGUCUUAAUUGGGCGUUAAGUUGCAGGGUAUAGACCCGAAACCCGGUGAUCUAGCCAUGGGCAGGUUGAAGGUUGGGUAACACUAACUGGAGGACCGAACCGACUAAUGUUGAAAAAUUAGCGGAUGACCUGUGGCUGGGGGUGAAAGGCCAAUCAAACCGGGAGAUAGCUGGUUCUCCCCGAAAGCUAUUUAGGUAGCGCCUCGUGAAUUCAUCUCCGGGGGUAGAGCACUGUUUCGGCUAGGGGGCCAUCCCGGCUUACCAACCCGAUGCAAACUGCGAAUACCGGAGAAUGUUAUCACGGGAGACACACGGCGGGUGCUAACGUCCGUCGUGAAGAGGGAAACAACCCAGACCGCCAGCUAAGGUCCCAAAGUCAUGGUUAAGUGGGAAACGAUGUGGGAAGGCCCAGACAGCCAGGAUGUUGGCUUAGAAGCAGCCAUCAUUUAAAGAAAGCGUAAUAGCUCACUGGUCGAGUCGGCCUGCGCGGAAGAUGUAACGGGGCUAAACCAUGCACCGAAGCUGCGGCAGCGACACUGUGUGUUGUUGGGUAGGGGAGCGUUCUGUAAGCCUGUGAAGGUGGCCUGUGAGGGUUGCUGGAGGUAUCAGAAGUGCGAAUGCUGACAUAAGUAACGAUAAAGCGGGUGAAAAGCCCGCUCGCCGGAAGACCAAGGGUUCCUGUCCAACGUUAAUCGGGGCAGGGUGAGUCGACCCCUAAGGCGAGGCCGAAAGGCGUAGUCGAUGGGAAACGGGUUAAUAUUCCCGUACUUGGUGUUACUGCGAAGGGGGGACGGAGAAGGCUAUGUUGGCCGGGCGACGGUUGUCCCGGUUUAAGCGUGUAGGUGUGUGUUCCAGGUAAAUCCGGUUCACUUUAACACUGAGGCGUGACGACGAGGCACUACGGUGCUGAAGCAACAAAUGCCCUGCUUCCAGGAAAAGCCUCUAAGCAUCAGGUAACAUCAAAUCGUACCCCAAACCGACACAGGUGGUCAGGUAGAGAAUACCAAGGCGCUUGAGAGAACUCGGGUGAAGGAACUAGGCAAAAUGGUGCCGUAACUUCGGGAGAAGGCACGCUGACACGUAGGUGAAGUGAUUUACUCACGGAGCUGAAGUCAGUCGAAGAUACCAGCUGGCUGCAACUGUUUAUUAAAAACACAGCACUGUGCAAACACGAAAGUGGACGUAUACGGUGUGACGCCUGCCCGGUGCCGGAAGGUUAAUUGAUGGGGUCAGCGCAAGCGAAGCUCCUGAUCGAAGCCCCGGUAAACGGCGGCCGUAACUAUAACGGUCCUAAGGUAGCGAAAUUCCUUGUCGGGUAAGUUCCGACCUGCACGAAUGGCGUAAUGAUGGCCAGGCUGUCUCCACCCGAGACUCAGUGAAAUUGAACUCGCUGUGAAGAUGCAGUGUACCCGCGGCAAGACGGAAAGACCCCGUGAACCUUUACUAUAGCUUGACACUGAACAUUGAGCCUUGAUGUGUAGGAUAGGUGGGAGGCUUUGAAGCGUGGACGCCAGUCUGCGUGGAGCCGACCUUGAAAUACCACCCUUUAAUGUUUGAUGUUCUAACGUGGACCCGU